UACGUAGGUGGCAAGCGUUGUCCGGAUUUAUUGGGUUUAAAGGGUGCGUAGGCGGCCCCGUAAGUCAGUGGUGAAAUAUCUCAGCUUAACUGAGAGGGUGCCAUUGAUACUGCGGGGCUUGAGUACAGAUGAGGUAGGCGGAAUUGACGGUGUAGCGGUGAAAUGCAUAGAUAUCGUCAAGAACACCGAUAGCGAAGGCAGCUUACUAAGCUGUAACUGACGCUGAGGCACGAAAGUGUGGGGAUCAAACAGG
This 253-nucleotide ribosomal RNA is filed under the name uncultured bacterium. RNAcentral's name for it is "partial 16S ribosomal RNA". It matches the Rfam family "Bacterial small subunit ribosomal RNA", at positions 524 to 776 of the family's 1533-position model. The record is from RNAcentral.